Thalassophryne amazonica is the source of this 333-nucleotide long non-coding RNA. RefSeq lists it as uncharacterized. The record is from RefSeq and is a predicted model, not a curated record. The transcript is spliced from 3 exons. Lineage: Eukaryota; Metazoa; Chordata; Actinopteri; Batrachoidiformes; Batrachoididae.
CGUCACAAAUACACAUAUUUGGAGGCAGAUGUGCACUGCGUUCAUGCACGUGUGAACGUCUGUCUGCCUCUUUUGACACCUCUGGCUGGUGCAAGAAAAAAAAAAAAAAAGUAUUUUUCAUUGGUGGAAACAUAUGACAACAAUAAACACCAUCGACCCCACAUGGGUGCAGAUGUCAAUCAGAGAAGAGAAACAAAAACCUCCAAAGGCCCAAUGCUGCCUCUGGUGGACAACAGGAGGAAGUGUCAGGUCUGUUAUGUUCAACACAGGACCUUUUGUUGGACUGGAAUCGUUUUUUCUGACUGACUGAAUGGCACAAAUAUAAUUUGUGUG